RNAcentral lists this ribosomal RNA (370 nucleotides) under Leptaxis terceirana. RNAcentral describes it as "partial 16S ribosomal RNA". The record is from RNAcentral. Lineage: Eukaryota; Metazoa; Mollusca; Gastropoda; Stylommatophora; Hygromiidae.
CCCUGCUCAAUGAUUAUUAAAUAGCCGCAGUACCUUGACUGUGCAAAGGUAGCAUAAUCAUUUGGCUUAUAAUUGAAGUCUGGUAUGAAUGGGUGAAUGGAUAAUAACUAUCUUUCCAUAAUAAACUGAAUUUACUUAUUAAGUGAAAAUUCUUAUUUAAAAACAAUAGACGAGAAGACCCUAGAAAUUUUUUAAAUAUAUAUUUAGAUAUUCUAUUUUGUUGGGGCGACAAGGUAGCAAUAAACCUACCUAUAAAAUAUAAAAAAUUAAUGAGGUAAAUAAUUAAAUUACUCUAGGGAUAACAGCAUAAUAUAUAAGAGUUUGUGACCUCGAUGUUGGACUAGGUAAAUUGAUGUUUAAAAGAUAUUAG